UGGGGAAUAUUGCGCAAUGGGCGAAAGCCUGACGCAGCAACGCCGCGUGGGGGAUGACGGCUUUCGGGUUGUAAACCCCUUUCAGUGAUGACGAAAAUGACGGUAAUCACAGAAGAAGCCCCGGCCAACUACGUGCCAGCAGCCGCGGUAACACGUAGGGGGCGAGCGUUGUCCGGAUUUAUUGGGCGUAAAGAGCUCGUAGGCGGUUGCGUAAGUCGGAUGUGAAAACUCAGGGCUCAACCCUGAGCAGCCAUUCGAUACUGCGCUGACUAGAGUCCGGUAGGGGAGCAUGGAAUUCCUGGUGUAGCGGUGAAAUGCGCAGAUAUCAGGAGGAACACCAGUAGCGAAGGCGGUGCUCUGGGCCGGUACUGACGCUGAGGAGCGAAAGCAUGGGUAGCAAACAGGAUUAGAUACCCCCGUAGUCC
This 425-nucleotide ribosomal RNA is filed under the name uncultured prokaryote. RNAcentral describes it as "bacterial SSU rRNA". It matches the Rfam family "Bacterial small subunit ribosomal RNA", at positions 355 to 796 of the family's 1533-position model. The record is from RNAcentral.